UUUUUGCAGAUUUUUCUGAAGUAUGAAUUUACUUUUCCUAUAAUAGUUUCAUAAUCUGCUUAGAUAAUGUUAUAUCUGUUUCAUAAACUGCUUGAUCUUUAUGGCUUUGUAAUGUUAUCUGCUAUUUGGUCCAUUGGUUCUUGAAGUGACUGUCUGUUGAGCUAUAACAAUUUUAUUGAGCUUAUCAGACAUUAUUGUUUAAUAUUGCUUUUAAGAUUUGAUUGAUGUCUAAUAUUUGCAUUUGGUGUUUGUAUAUUUUGUGGUUGUCUUUGGGUAUGAUGCAUCUAAUAUUGUAGAAUUUGUUUCUGACUUAGAAUUCUUCAUUUCCUGUAAUAUUAACCUUAAGUUUUUGUUCAAGCCAGGAAAUGAUUCGUUUGAUGAGAGAGAGGCGUUUUCCUGCUGCUUUUAAGUGUUACCAUAACUUUCACAAAAUUGGUUCUGUAUCUAGUGACAACCUGUUCUUCAAAAUGGUCAUCCAUGUCCACAGCGAUUCAGCAUUUCGACGCUAUCAGAAAGAGAUGAGGAACAAACCAGGAUUGUGGCCUCUAUAUCGAGGGUUGAGCACUUGCUGAGGGAUGUGAAGGAUACAACCAUUAGCACCCUUGCAACAGAGGAUGCUGAGGGUUUAAUUGUGCUCAACAUAGGCAGCUAUAUGGGUGGAGUUGAUCUUUGGCAAAAUGAUUAUGAGCAUGACGAUGAUUUCAAUCUUCAGUCCAUGCAUGACAAAACACUUGAGGUGGUGUGCAUUUCUGGAGCAUGGCACCUUGGGAAACUUCAGGUACAAAAUCUUGGUUUCUACUAAUCCUCCAAAUCAUUGUAAUAAGUGAUUGAAAUGGGUUCACCCAGCUGCCAAAAUGUAUGCUUCAUAGUAAGUUUAUUUGUAUAUGCUACCACAAUGAGU
This is a non-coding RNA of Camellia sinensis, 901 nucleotides long. Lineage: Eukaryota; Viridiplantae; Streptophyta; Magnoliopsida; Ericales; Theaceae. The record is from RefSeq and is a predicted model, not a curated record.